RNAcentral lists this long non-coding RNA (7275 nucleotides) under Sus scrofa (pig). RNAcentral describes it as "lncRNA (ENSSSCG00060019180.1)". Lineage: Eukaryota; Metazoa; Chordata; Mammalia; Artiodactyla; Suidae. The record is from RNAcentral.
CCACACCCAUGGCACAUGAAGUUCCCGGGCCAGUGAUGGAAUCCAAGCCGCAGCUGCAACGCCAGAUCCUUAACCCACUGUGCUGUCCUGGGAAUCAAACCUGCACCUUGGCAGCGACCCAAGCCACUGCAGAGACAACAGCAGAUCCUUAACCCACUGCGCCAUAGCGGGAACUCCAACAUGCAGCUUUCUUGAAGGUCAACCACCUUCUUCAGCUUGUAAGAUGCUCCUGACAGCAGCCUGUUUACACCUGAUCUGAUGCCAUUUCCAUGUCAACUGUUGAUUACAUUGGCUAAACCGAAAUUGAAAAUUAUGCUCUCUGCAAUAAUACUUUUGAUCUCUUGCUUUGAAACAAACAUCUUCUGAUUGAAAGGGUUUCAGGGGCUUUAGCAUAUAAUAAUCAUUGGUCUGGGAGGAAUCUGGUCUUGAAAUUUUAAGACGCAGUCUGCUAUCUUGCUACAGUGACUUGAGUGCCACAAAUAGGGUCAUAAAUGAACCCCUGUUGAGUGCUUUCUGCCAGGCAGGCUUUAAAGCAUUGUACAUGUACUAUUUCAUUUAAUUCACAUAACGACACAAUGAAGUAGGUAUUAUCACUGUCCCCAUUUCAUGAACGGGGACCCUGGGGCCCGGGAGGUAAUGUGACCUGCCCAAAGUCCUGCUGCUAGUCAGUAGUGGAGCCAGGAAUGGAAUCAAGGCACCUGCCUCCAAAUCUUAGACUCUUACCUCACUUUUAUGCUCCCUUUCUGUAAUAUCAGAGUUUUUUUAACUGCUGGAAAAAGUGAUUUUUUUUUCCUGGACCGCUUAAGGGAAAUAAACACCAAUGCCCUCGCUUCUUUCGAGUGUUAUCUCUAGAUUGGCUUCCCAGAUACGGCGUUUAGUUCUUCGUUUCUCCAUAACGAGUAGACUUCAGGACCGUAAGGGCUGGGUUAUAUCCGUCUCCAGCCCACGUUGACUGCGGAGGGGGAGGCGGGAGCUCAUUUUGCGCAGGGAGACGUUCCAGGUAAACCUCCUUGGAAUGUUCUAGUUUGAUGUAUCUCGAACUCCUGGCGCAGGAUGCAUUUGAAAAACCUUUCAAUAAGCUGAAACAAAUACACGAUAGAUGUUGAGUUGUUGUGGUUCAGUCUGUAUCCAGAAAAGGAGGAAAAAGCAACAGUAUUUUUAAAGUUACCCAUCUUACUUGGACAAGCUUUAUUUUUAUUUUUUAAUUUUUCCCCUUUAGGGCUGUACCUGCUGCAUAUGGAGGUCCCCGGGGUAGGGGUCGAAUCGGAGUUGCAGCUGCCAGUUUACACCGCAGCCACAGCAACGCCGGGUCCUUCAUCCACUGGAGAAGACAACGUCGGGUCCUUAACCCCCUGCGCCACAAUGGGAACUCCUACGUGGGCAAGCUUCAGGUUUUCAUGACCAGGAGCGGUGCUGCUUCCAGCCCCCAACCCCCACUCUUGCCGCAGGGCCCAGAUGGGCACGUUGUGACCCUGUCUGGGCUGAUAAUCGCAUCGCAGUGCUUUUCCUCAAAUCAGACGGCCGCUUAUCCCAGCUAAUCUCCCCACGAGCAUACGGAGGUGGAGAAUAGCAGGGACUCCUGAGUGCUCUAAUGGGUAAGGAAGUUGAAAAAUCUUGGCCAACUACUACUUAGAACCAUGAGGAAAUCCUUUGCAGCAUUUGUAGCUUGCUGGCCGGCCUCUCGACUCCGAAGUGGUUUCUGAACACUCGUGGUGGGAAGGUUUUGUGUGCAGCUCUCCGCAGCGUGCGAUCUGUUCAGCGCCGGCUGCCGACGGCAGAGGUCUGGCACACACUUCGGUGCCAAGAGCAAGACACGCUUCUACGUCCCGCGCUGCCGGCUUCACAAGAAGCUGCGAGCGUCGUCACGGUCUUUGCUGAACACCUUCUGUGGAGUUGCUGAUGGUUUUCUCUUUCUGUCAAGGCCCAGAAGUAGUUUCUGCUUCUCCAUCCGGGGUGCAUCGAGAGGUUCGAGAGAAGCAAGUCGGCGGCCCACGGACCUCCUUGGGGGCUGCCCGGUUGUAAUCCGAAGCUGGCCCUGUGCUCAGAGGGCAGAGGAAAGGGGCAGAUGACUCCAGACCUACAAACCCGGAGCGGCAGGUUACGAAGGGGAUUUGCCACAAGCCUUGUCUUAGGUGAAUCCAGCGCAGACGGACCCCUGCCCCUGCCGGCAGAGGCUUCGUGUUUAUGGAGAGGCCUUAGCUGGAUCCACUCGUGCACACAGUCUAUAGUCUCAUUGCCAUAUUAAUAUCUCAAGGCUUUAUCCUCGAGGCAGCUUCUGGAUGUAGAGGAAGCAAAUGGGGUGCAUGAUCUACGGACAGGGGAGGGGCGGGGGCGGGCAGCCUCCAAGUGCCAGGGUUCAGCUUGCAGGUCAAACCCUUGGGCACAUCUUCUCAGUGGCGCCCCCAGCACAAGUAUGGAUCCAUCUCCCAUCUCUGCAAGACCUCAAGUGGCUGCACAGAAGUGGUGUGAUUCUUUUUUUUUUGUUUCACUUUUUAGGGCCACACUCGUGGCAUAUGGAAUUUCCUAAGCUAGGGGUCAAAUCAGAGCUACAGCUGCCAGCCACAGCCACAGCCACACCAGAUCCGAGCUACGUCUAUGACCUACACCACAGCUAACAGCAACACUGGAUCCUUAACCCACUGAGUGAGGCCAGGGGUCGAACCUGCAUCCCAAUGGAUCCUAUUCUGUAACUGUAACCACUGAGCCGUGAAGGGAACUCCCAAAAGUCAACAUCUUAAUAGCUUGUUAUAUAACACAUUUUUAAAGGAAAUGUAAUGAGUGCUUAUUGCCAGAGUAAAUGAUAAUUUUUACUCUUUCUUUUCUAUUUCAAUGUAACAUACCGCCCAUGACACGUUAAAAUAAUCAUCAUUCCUUCCCCCCAAAUUUAAACCUAUUAAAUUAUUUUUUGAGAAAUUCUUAUCUAAAAUAUCUGCCAUUUUGCAGAACUCCUGCAGAUAUGAGUGAUUCGCUGUUUUAAUAAUUAGUGUGGGAAAAAAGAAGACACAUGGAGAAUUUUGAAAUAGUCCUGUUAUUGUUUACGGCAAUCUACAUGCAUGAAGAAAUAGCUAGUUUUAACCCAACAAAAUUACAAGUUCUAAAACUGACAGAACACUGUAAACCAACUAUAAUGGAAAAAAUAAAAAUCAUUUAAAAUUUUAAAAAAUGACAAGUUCUCCUUUAUUCAUGGUUUACACAGGAGUACACCCCAACAUCCCCCGCCUCCCCUCUUAAAUUUGUGAUUGACAAGGGGAGGCAGGACCUUGAAUGCAAGAGUCAACACACUUCAAAAGACCCCUGUGAAAGGUAAAAACUGAUAAUAAUCAUUUCCAAAGAGAAACAAGUCUCCCACUUGAAAAUGUGGGCCGUCAACAUAUUUUGCUCAGAAGAACAAAUGGGAAUAUGGCAGGAAAGAUCAGCACAGGGUCCUCAAGUUGGUUCAAGAGGUAAAACAUUAAGAUCUUGAAUGUUCGUUGCAGUUUUCAUGUGCAGAAUAUACACUUCUGUUCAUCCCAGAGGAGCCGCUUUCUCUCUAUUCCUUGGAUAGCUUUAGAAAGCCGUUGGACUCUCCAAGAAGUCCUAACUUAGUCUAGGGUGUAGUAUCUUGUAAGGGAGACAAAACGUUCCAUAAGUUGAAACCUUCCUUCAAAAUCUCCCUCAACUCCUCUCUUCCCCCCCUUUCCAUUUCCCCUUCUGCCCCCCUAGUUUAACUCUCACCACUUUAUGGCUACACAGCAGCGACUGCCCCUUCCCCAGACCCAGACAGGGUCUCAGCUUCAGCCAGACCCCCCGUGCACUGGCCCAAUGUACUGUCCAAAAGGCACUCGUACUGUGUGUGGCUGGUCCAUAGCAGCUGCCCGAUACAUGACAGUUUCAACCUGCUCAAGUCACUCUCCGCUGCCCGCAGGAAAAAGCUUAAAGCCCUGAUGGUUUGUAGAAGAUAAAAGACUGUGUUUGGUAUUUGUUCCCAUUGCAGGCACAGAAAUCCUAAACCCCUCGGAAUUGCUUGGGUGAUGAGAUGUCUCUGUUAAAUUAAAGAGGCGACUUGCCCAGGCUUCUAGAUAGUUUCGGGAUGAAGGCUGGGCAUCAGAAAGACCAGCCAUGUGAUUCGAUUUUUGGGACGUGGAGGCAGCCUGACCCCUGGGAUUGGGGAUGUCUGGAGAUUGGGUUUAGUCAUGAGGCCAAUGAUUUAACUGUGUCUAUGUCAUGAAACCCCAAUAAAACCCUUGGACGCUGGGGCUCAGAGGAGCUUCCUGGUUCAUGGUUGCAGAGAUGGACCUGGUGGUGACAUGCCCAGACUUCGUGGGAGGGGACGCGGAAGCUCUGUGUUCCCUCCUGGACCUCGUCCUGUGCCUCUCACUUGGCUGCUCCUGCAUCCUUUUUGUUGAAGUUGCCGUCGAAAGUCUAGCACUUUCUUGAGCUCUGUGAGUCAUUCUAGUGGAUUUUCAAACCUGAGGAAGUCAUGGAAUGCUCAGGUUUGUGGCCGGUUGGGCAGAAGGGUGGGUAGCCUGGGGGCUUCCCAAGACUCGUGGCCGGCAUCUGAGGUGAGGGCAGCCCCGUGGAGGACUUUGCCCUUAACCUGUGAGCCUGUGCCACCCCUGGGUAGCCAGUGUCAGCAGCGAGUUGGGGUAGAAACAGAGCCGAUGGUAUUAAGAGACGGCAACCGGAAUCUAUAGAAAUAGAUCAAGUCAUCAGUGCAGGACUUUGUUUAUCACAGCCGUCAUGGAAAGAUCGAUUGACUGAAAGCCUCCCCAGGACCACGAAACCAUAGCACUGCUUUCCCAAAUCCGGCUUCCAUGGACCCUGCUAGGAUGGCCUCGUGGUGAGGAAUCCUGCCUAGGAGUUGUUUAAAGACAAGAGGAGUCAAAAUAUUUUGACUAGCUUAGGGCAAGGCACUCGGCCUGCGUUGUGAUCUAUGGUCUUAAUUCCACGAGGUCCUACCAACGGUUUAUUUUGGCCAAAAAGCAGCAUAAGUGUCCUUUUCCACGUAGUGUCUCUGAGAAACAUUCCACCCCGGCAAGGUAGCCAAGUCUGGCUGAUGCGUUACAGCCAAUGAGUAAGUUACGGGCACGGAUUUGGGGGGGUCUCUGUACAUGGUGAUUCUGAGAAGAUUCAAGCUUCCAGCGCUGGUGAUGGGGGUCACAGGAGUGGGCGGGCAUUGCCUGGGUAUUGCCCACCAAGCUAUCUGUUUCCAGUUUGGGGAGCGGAACAGCCACAGAGGCAAAGCAAAGAGAUGCCGCAGGCACUGCCUGCCAGGCUCAGUCUGAGUGCUUUUUACCGAAGUCAGCGCACUGCAUCCUGAAGGGGAGGUAUUGUCGCCUCCACUUUGCAGACAAACUGUGAGCGCCCCGCGGUCUCCCAGCCUGUAAGCUGGAGGAUGAGCAUUCGCGUGCAGGGCUAUCUGGGUCCAGAUGGAAACUCUACGCUCAACUCCGCCACCAAGUGCCCAAUUCUGGGCCUCACCCUGGGAUGCCUGAGUUACAGUCUGAGUUCGGAAAGCAGAGAAAAGAUAUCUUGUCACCGUCCGCUUGCCUGGCAGUCCAGGGAGAGAGGUGGGGGCGGCUUCCUCGACCCCGCACUUGGGCUGGAGUCGGCGCCCGAGCCAGCUCUCGCGGACAUGACAGAGGGCACUGCUGGCGGGCACUAAUCUCUUUGCAGCCUCUGUCUCAGCGCUGGAUCUUCUUUAGGCAGAUGGGUGCUAGCUCUGGGGCAGACAGGAGCAAGCAGUCAUCGCAGCCUCCUGGAGACGUCCUUGGCGCAGCUGCCCAGGGCAUCCUUGCUGUGUUAAGAAUCCCCCCCACUCGCCCAGAUUAACUCUGCCCACUUGUGAGUAGCCAGCUGUGAGUCUGCAAGCGAGACUCUCGGAGGGCACAUCGUUCUGUCCACCAGAAGCCCCGCGAGCCAGCUCAGCAGGCGCAGAAACCACACUGCGGGGUGAGGCAGGGGCUCGGCACGGUGAUGUGUCCCUUUGUCGUUAGGAAAAGGCCCUUCCUGGUUUGGUUGGCCAGGGGGCUAACUCCAGUUCCCUGCUGGUGGAGGCUCACAGGAGUAGAUGAGACACGCUGAUAAGUGUUGCUUGGCCACCAGCAGGGCUGGUGACCUAGGACAACAUCUCACCUGUCCCAAACUGAGAACAGCCCAUGGAUGGGCGCCUGGGAAGCAGACUGAGCACAACUGCUCCUGGACCACACCUGGAGCUGAACCGUCUCCCUCUCGUUUCCUAAGGUUUCACAGCCGUCGAUUUCCCAUGGAAACAGCAGAAAUCUGUUUUAAUCAUCGGGAAUUUUGUUUCCUAAUUUGUAUGGGAACCUGGUGAUGCAGACAUAUGGUGCAUAUGCAUCGUCUCAGAAAGCGGCAGCCAAAAGAAAAAUAGUUAAAGCCAGUCUUAAAACUGGAAAGCUUCGGCGUAUGCCUUCAAAUUAUGUCCCUUGAUCUCAGAGGCAUCAGCCCUGCUGCCAAAAGACCUGGUUCUGCUUCCGCUGGUCCUUCCAGCAGGAUUUGCACUCGUACCUUGUCAGGUGCUCCCAGAAUGGAGAGAGUGAAUGAGUGCCGGUGGCGUUCUAAUCCUGACCCUUGGGCUAAGCCCGAGCUUCUCUCUGCCUCCUUAUCAUCCUCUGAGAGUUUCAUUCAACCAUUUUAAUAGUGAUCGAACAUCUAUUUGGUGCAGACAGGGUUCUGAGAACGAGGAAGGUAGCAGUAAACAAGAAGGGUCCCCACCUUUGUGGAGUUCAGAUUCUCUCAGGGGAGAUAAUCAAAUGAGUAGAAGGCAGAGCAUGUUUGCUGGGGAUCUGGGUUAUGGAGAAAGACAGAGCAGGAAAGGGAGUAUUUCAGAAGGGCAACUACAAAUUUAAAAUAGGCUGGUCAGGAAAGGCCUCGUGGAGAGGAGGCAGCUGAGGCAAUGCUUGAUGGAGGUGUGAGAAGCGGCCACGUGGAUAUCAGAGAUCCGAGAACAUUCGGGCGGAGGCCCUGAAACUGCAGAUCCCCCGCUGUUUUUGAGGAACGGCAAGAAGCCCAACACGGCGCCCAGGUUCUGGUGUGUGGGUAUGGCAGCUGGGACGGACUGACACGCAGGCCAGGGACGGACGGAAGAUAUUUAUGACCAAGGGUGUCGAGAAGAUCACGGGGAGAGCCUGCCCGUGUCCAUACUGGCUUGGAGCCUUCUUGGCCCCGCACAGAAAAGACCGUGAGGCUGGAGUGGAGCUGCGUGGCGGCAAGUAUUUCCAGCUUGUGAGGAGGCCCAAGUGGGCCUGGUGCAAAGUAGGGUGCAGUGAGCUCGGU